UAGGAUGUAUUUUGGGGUAACUACACCUAGGUUAUAUAUAUAUAUUAUGAACUAAUUAUUAUUCGGAGGUGCUCAUAGUGGGAGGAGGCGUCGUCCGAAGGUGCUCGGUCAUAUAUACGGGCCGGUGGGGUAGGUCUUAUUACUACAUAAACAACCUAAUUAGCAAUUAGGAAAAAUAAAGAGAACAAGGAAAAAGGAAAAUGAAAAAGAAAAGAAUGUAAAUGAAAGACAAUUAGGAAAAGAAAAAGGAAAAC
RNAcentral lists this long non-coding RNA (254 nucleotides) under Hordeum vulgare. RNAcentral's name for it is "long non-coding RNA (HVUL_LNC018870)". Lineage: Eukaryota; Viridiplantae; Streptophyta; Magnoliopsida; Poales; Poaceae. The record is from RNAcentral.